AGGCACAGAAUUAGGCCCGACC
RNAcentral lists this microRNA (22 nucleotides) under Mus musculus (house mouse). RNAcentral describes it as "mmu-miR-9769-5p". The record is from miRBase by way of RNAcentral. Lineage: Eukaryota; Metazoa; Chordata; Mammalia; Rodentia; Muridae.